UUUGUAAAAUAAAUUCUCUUGAAUAAUAGAGAAAGGAGGGUAAGCAUUAGGAUCUCGAUGAAGAGCAGCAAGGAUAGGCCUCAAAUAUGGAUCAGCUUGAACUUCCUCAGCUAAAUUAUCCAAAUCCAUCCAUUGAGGAUGGCUCAUGGGUGAAGUUGAAAUGACUCAUCUUCCAUAUGCCUAGAUAAGGCAUCAGUUGCUGUAUUACUUUUUCCAGGCUUAUAAUCAAUGUUAAAAUGAUAACCCAAUAAUUUGAAGAGCCAACAUUGCUAUGCAGUGGUAAUAAUCUGUUGUUUUAAUAAGUGUUUGAGGCUUCUUUG
RNAcentral lists this unclassified non-coding RNA (320 nucleotides) under Hevea brasiliensis (rubber tree). The record is from RNAcentral. Lineage: Eukaryota; Viridiplantae; Streptophyta; Magnoliopsida; Malpighiales; Euphorbiaceae.